Non-coding RNA from Beta vulgaris subsp. vulgaris (sugar beet), 102 nucleotides. Lineage: Eukaryota; Viridiplantae; Streptophyta; Magnoliopsida; Caryophyllales; Amaranthaceae. The record is from Rfam.
UGUAACAAUCAUAGAAUCUGAUAAAAUUGGAACGAUACAGAGAAGAUUAGCAUGGCCCACUAGUGAGGUGCCACACUUAUCCUCUUUUCUUUAUUUUCUUUU